CCUCCUUUCUAUAGUAUUCAAAUUUUAGGAUGUUAGUCUUUUUCUAUCUUCAAUAUUAUAUUUUAACUCACCCAAUAGCUCAGUUCUCACUACUGAACUCCGUGGCUAUUAUUAUAGUCCCUUAGCUCAGUUGGUUAGAGCGCUACACUGAUAAUGUAGAGGUCCGCAGUUCAAAUCUGCGAGGGACUACGCUAGGGGGAUUAGCUCAGCUGGCUAGAGCGCCUGCCUUGCACGCAGGAGGUCAUCGGUUCGACUCCGAUAUUCUCCACUAAACUCAAAUGAGUUGAAGUUCUUUGACGUAUUUCAAUAUUAAUAAUCAUAAAAAGUACAUAACAAAUUGUUACUUAUUAAAAAGCAAAUUAAGGGCGUAUGGCGGAUGCCUUGGCUCUCAGAGGCUAUGAAGGACGUAAUAAGCUGCGAUAAGCUACGGGUAGGAGCAAAUAUCCUUUUGAUCCGUANAUUUUCCCGAAAUGGGG
RNAcentral lists this unclassified non-coding RNA (476 nucleotides) under uncultured Bacteroidota bacterium. RNAcentral describes it as "uncultured Bacteroidetes bacterium partial 16S-23S ribosomal RNA intergenic spacer". The stretch from base 116 to 189 matches the Rfam family "tRNA". Lineage: Bacteria; Pseudomonadati; Bacteroidota. The record is from RNAcentral.